GAGGAAUAUUGGUCAAUGGGCGAGAGCCUGAACCAGCCAAGUAGCGUGCAGGAAGACGGCCCUAUGGGUUGUAAACUGCUUUUAUGUGGGGAUAAAGUGAGCUACGUGUAGUUUAUUGCAGGUACCACAUGAAUAAGGACCGGCUAAUUCCGUGCCAGCAGCCGCGGUAAUACGGAAGGUCCAGGCGUUAUCCGGAUUUAUUGGGUUUAAAGGGAGCGUAGGCCGUGGAUUAAGCGUGUUGUGAAAUGUAGACGCUCAACGUCUGAAUUGCAGCGCGAACUGGUUCACUUGAGUAUGCGCAACGUAGGCGGAAUUCGUCGUGUAGCGGUGAAAUGCUUAGAUAUGACGAAGAACUCCGAUUGCGAAGGCAGCUUACGGGAGCACAACUGACGCUGAAGCUCGAAGGUGCGGGUAUCAAACAGGAUUAGAUACCCUGGUAGUCCGCACAGUAAACGAUGGAUGCCCGCUGUUGGUACCUGGUAUCAGCGGCUAAGCGAAAGCAUUAAGCAUCCCACCUGGGGAGUACGCCGGCAACGGUG
RNAcentral lists this ribosomal RNA (539 nucleotides) under uncultured bacterium. Its description in RNAcentral is "bacterial SSU rRNA". It matches the Rfam family "Bacterial small subunit ribosomal RNA", at positions 356 to 896 of the family's 1533-position model. The record is from RNAcentral.